This 1522-nucleotide ribosomal RNA is filed under the name Salmonella enterica subsp. enterica serovar 1,4,[5],12:i:-. RNAcentral's name for it is "bacterial SSU rRNA". It matches the Rfam family "Bacterial small subunit ribosomal RNA". The record is from RNAcentral. Lineage: Bacteria; Pseudomonadati; Pseudomonadota; Gammaproteobacteria; Enterobacterales; Enterobacteriaceae.
AAAUUGAAGAGUUUGAUCAUGGCUCAGAUUGAACGCUGGCGGCAGGCCUAACACAUGCAAGUCGAACGGUAACAGGAAGCAGCUUGCUGCUUCGCUGACGAGUGGCGGACGGGUGAGUAAUGUCUGGGAAACUGCCUGAUGGAGGGGGAUAACUACUGGAAACGGUGGCUAAUACCGCAUAACGUCGCAAGACCAAAGAGGGGGACCUUCGGGCCUCUUGCCAUCAGAUGUGCCCAGAUGGGAUUAGCUUGUUGGUGAGGUAACGGCUCACCAAGGCGACGAUCCCUAGCUGGUCUGAGAGGAUGACCAGCCACACUGGAACUGAGACACGGUCCAGACUCCUACGGGAGGCAGCAGUGGGGAAUAUUGCACAAUGGGCGCAAGCCUGAUGCAGCCAUGCCGCGUGUAUGAAGAAGGCCUUCGGGUUGUAAAGUACUUUCAGCGGGGAGGAAGGUGUUGUGGUUAAUAACCGCAGCAAUUGACGUUACCCGCAGAAGAAGCACCGGCUAACUCCGUGCCAGCAGCCGCGGUAAUACGGAGGGUGCAAGCGUUAAUCGGAAUUACUGGGCGUAAAGCGCACGCAGGCGGUCUGUCAAGUCGGAUGUGAAAUCCCCGGGCUCAACCUGGAACUGCAUUCGAUGAAUUCCAGGUGUAGCGGUGAUAUUCGUAGAGAUCUGGAGCAAUACCGGUGGCGAAGGCGGCCCCCUUGACAAAGACUGCCGCUCAGGUGCGAAAGCGUGGGGAGCAAACAGGAUUAGUUACCGUGGUAGUCCACGCCGUAAACGAUGUCUACUUGGAGGUUGUGCCCGCCGAGGCGUGGCUUCCGGAGCUAACGCGUUAAGUAGACCGCCUGGGGAGUACGGCCGCAAGGUUAAAACUCAAAUGAAUUGACGGGGGCCCGCACAAGCGGUGGAGCAUGUGGUUUAAUUCGAUGCAACGCGAAGAACCUUACCUGGUCUUGACAUCCACAGAAGAAUCCAGAGAUGGAUUUGUGCCUUCGGGAACUGUGAGACAGGUGCUGCAUGGCUGUCGUCAGCUCGUGUUGUGAAAUGUUGGGUUAAGUCCCGCAACGAGCGCAACCCUUAUCCUUUGUUGCCAGCGAUUAGGUCGGGAACUCAAAGGAGACUGCCAGUGAUAAACUGGAGGAAGGUGGGGAUGACGUCAAGUCAUCAUGGCCCUUACGACCAGGGCUACACACGUGCUACAAUGGCGCAUACAAAGAGAAGCGACCUCGCGAGAGCAAGCGGACCUCAUAAAGUGCGUCGUAGUCCGGAUUGGAGUCUGCAACUCGACUCCAUGAAGUCGGAAUCGCUAGUAAUCGUGGAUCAGAAUGCCACGGUGAAUACGUUCCCGGGCCUUGUACACACCGCCCGUCACACCAUGGGAGUGGGUUGCAAAAGAAGUAGGUAGCUUAACCUUCGGGAGGGCGCUUACCACUUUGUGAUUCAUGACUGGGGUGAAGUCGUAACAAGGUAACCGUAGGGGAACCUGCGGUUGGAUCACCUCCUUACCUUAAAGAAGC